GGAAAACUUACCAGGUCCAGACAUAAUGAGGAUUGACAGAUUGAGAGCUCUUUCUUGAUUUUAUGGGUGGUGGUGCAUGGCCGUUCUUAGUUGGUGGAGUGAUUUGUCUGGUUAAUUCCGUUAACGAACGAGACCCCUGCCUGCUAAAUAGCACGCAUAGUGUUUAUCACUGUGUAGUGCUUCUUAGAGGGACGUGCGUUCUAUUAGACGCAGGAAGAUAGGGGCAAUAA
RNAcentral lists this ribosomal RNA (230 nucleotides) under uncultured eukaryote. Its description in RNAcentral is "partial small subunit ribosomal RNA". It matches the Rfam family "Eukaryotic small subunit ribosomal RNA", at positions 1208 to 1456 of the family's 1831-position model. The record is from RNAcentral.